AUGAGAGGGAAUCAGGCGCCACGUUGCAGCGAGCUGGGCUUAAUGCGAACCAGUCUGGGUCAGUGAGUGAGACGCUGAAGGCUGUCUCGGUGAAAUUGUUUCAGUUUCAUGCUCAUGUUCGUACUCGCAAUGCCAGUGUGGAUGUGUGUACAGGACAGGAGGAUGGAGGUGUUGGUGGCCAAACAGGGACUGGCUUGUCCUGCAGACUUGAGCAUCUACCACCAACAUGCUGUCUGUCUUAAUCCAGUAAAUGAACUACAGUGUUCCUCUUUCUUGUUUUAACGGUCGUAAUGAAGACCAUGAAAAGAAGAUUAGCUGGAGCCGUGGCAGCAGACCAUCUGGGGACCGUCAUCACGAGACUGUAGGGACCAGCGCUUGUUGUGUGAGCUGGCAGCCUCCAGCUCGUCCACAUGACUGACAUAAAUGGCGCAGUCUUAGAAAAAGAAUAGUGAAUUUGUGUUCUCUCAUUUAUCACAUUACACAGACAUGCACCUAUAGGCGAUCAGAACAAUAGCGCAUGGCAGCCCCCUUGACAUAUCAUUAGUGACAUCAAACAGAUGCUUGUGAUCUGUGCCGCUAAUUUCAUUAGCUUCUCCGGCUAACCAUAAGAGUGUCUUCUCAUUGUGUGGAAGAACAGGGUAAGAUUUCAGACAAGAUUGUAUACGUUUCCUCUGUUUGGUGCUUUUUAGAGUUUUUUUUUUCUCUUCCGCAUUUCAGUAGUUGCGGCAUACAGUAGCUCAGAUAAGUCACACAGCCAUCCUUGAUGCUGUGAUGAAUCACUAGAGGCAAUAAAGUCUCAGGUACUGUCAGGUGUACUGUUACUAUUAGAUGCAAAAAAGAAUUAACUGGCGUAGGAUUUUAACAAUAAGUGCAUCAGGAAUGAAGGCACUGUGCACGAACCACAACAUUGCAUAUUCUAUUGAACAUAUUUCUUUUUUCACCUCUCUCUUGCAAAGAUCUCCAGUAAAAGAAUAAAAAUUCCCAACCUACCUAAAGCACUUUUAACAGGAUGUGAGCACACCUGGUGUAGAUCGGAGGGACAUUGCGCAGAGACUUCCGCGAGGCCUCUCCCGAUCUAAUAUGCAAUCCCAGAGGCCUAAUGGGAGAAUGGGGUUAAUUAAUCCUGGAGGACAUAUCAGAUUGAGGAGAGGGGCUCCUCAGCCCCCUAGAUCUUCCCUCCAUAAAGGUCACACUUCACAAUAAGGGAACAGUGCAUGUGUUACCCCCUCUGAGGACUUAUCAUCCCCUCCCUCAAAACAUCUAAUUUGAUCUCCUUUCUUCAAUCAGCCUGAAAACAAACCCCGAAACACACUGGGACAUUAAGUGCUAAUACUAAAUGUCGUCCCCAGGCCCUGAUUCAUCCAUAGAUCUGUGACAAAGCGCCCUGAGAGACGAUAGGGUCUGGUGCUAAAUGUCUGCCACUGGCUAAACAUCAUUUGUGUGCUGACGUUAGAUGCUAAAGAGUGUCUCUAGGCCUUGGUUGCGUGACCGUGGCCAGUGAUUUAUGGGUCAUCAUUUGGGCGACAUUUUCCUCUGGUCCAACAUUCUAGUCAGUUGGCAUUACACUACUUUCUUUACACCUUCCCUGCACUGUGGCGUGUUCAAGGGGAAACUGUGCUCAAGUGUGGGCACGUGCCACGAAAGCCGUCCCCAGCCUUUGCCUCGGCCUCGUUGCUGCAGGGAUUUUCUGUUGCAGACGACACUGUUGUAGAUGAGCACAUCCAUGAAGGACUUAAUACUAUGUGAUGUAAAGAGGUUUGUCUCCAUACUAUAAUGGCCCUGACUCUUCUUCGAGCAUCAAAGAGAUCAAUGUCAAAUAAACCAAAGAUUGGCAUAACUGAAAAAUCCAACGGAAGAAAUUUAAAGGCUAAAUAUAAGCGUUUUUUCGUUACUUGUUCUUCUUCUUCCACUCUUUAGGUUGUCAACAACGGCCGUAAACUCUUUCCCUCACUUGCUUCUCCGCUCCUUGAUCCAGCAGAUAGGGUAGUGGAAGGGUUUUGGCUACAGGAAGUGUGUCUCCCCUGGGCUGCAGCGGAGCUCCUGUCCCCUUCUUUCUCUGCAGCUGGAGCUACCAGAGCCAGAUGCUUCGUAGCUCCACCACCCUCUGUCCCCCCUUUCUCUCUUCCAGGAGGAUGGUGCCCAGAGAGGAGGAUGACAAACGCCUCUGCCUCCUCUUACUGACGGAUUUGGACGACCUGACUCCAGCCCCGCACUGUUCCAACCGCCAGCACAAGAUGUUGACUUAAUGGAAGGGGGUUGGCUGUGGAUGGGCCCAUAUGCGUUUGUAUUGGGAAAAUAUGGCAGGGCGGUGUGUCUGUGUAUUCAAUAGUAUUGUCUGUGUGUGUAUGUUUGUGUGUGUGUGCUUGUCUUUUCACCUAGCCCAGACUGCCUACAUCCAUCAUGCCAUGGCGCUCUGGCAAAGUGUGGGACUCAGACAGCUUCACUAACACACGAGCAGUGUCCGGAUGUGCUGUAAUACCUGAGCUUUGGAAAUGUGUCUACAGCCCCACAGCCCAAAUAUGAUGAGAAAUGAUAAGGAACAGAGGGGGAGCAUUUAUAGGCCUUCGGAGUGGCACUUUUCUACACCAGGUCUGUCCACACCUGUUGCACACCGAGCAUGCUCAGAAUUUAAAACACAGCAGUGACUAUGUACCUGCCCAUGUAUUAAUACGCUCAUAAUCAAUCUGCCCUUGUCUCCCCAGCAACCGGUAAAAGCAGCAGCUGCUGCGGGGAAAUGCAGCUUAUAGGACUCGCAAUGAAGGUGGUGUUUUUU
Molecule: long non-coding RNA, 2773 nt
Organism: Mugil cephalus (flathead mullet)
Lineage: Eukaryota; Metazoa; Chordata; Actinopteri; Mugiliformes; Mugilidae
Exons: 4
Source: RefSeq, a predicted model, not a curated record